UACGAAGGGUGCAAACGUUGCUCGGAAUCAUUGGGGCGUAAAGCGCACGUAGGCGGCCCCAAAAGUUGGAUGUGAAAUCCCUCGGCUCAACCGAGGACGUGCAUCCAAAACUGUGGGGCUUGAGUACUGAAGAGGAUCGCGGAAUUCCCGGUGUAGAGGUGAAAUUCGUAGAUAUCGGGAGGAACACCAGUGGCGAAGGCGGCGAUCUGGGCAGAUACUGACGCUGAGGUGCGAAAGCGUGGGGAGCAAACAGG
This 254-nucleotide ribosomal RNA is filed under the name uncultured bacterium. RNAcentral describes it as "partial 16S ribosomal RNA". It matches the Rfam family "Bacterial small subunit ribosomal RNA", at positions 524 to 776 of the family's 1533-position model. The record is from RNAcentral.